AUUGAACGCUGGCGGCAGGCCUAACACAUGCAAGUCGAGCGGACGAAGGGAGCUUUCUCCUGUAUUCAGCGGCGGACGGGUGAGUAAGGCCUAGGAAUCUGCCUGGUAUUUGGGGAUAACGUCCGGAAACGGGCGCUAAUACCGCAUACGUCCUGAUAGAGAAAGGGAUGGAUCUUCGGACCUCACGCUAUCAGAUGAGCCUAGGUCGGAUUAGCUAGUUGGUGGGGUAACGGCCUACCAAGGCGACGAUCCGUAACUGGUCUGAGAGGAUGAUCAGUCACACUGGAACUGAGACACGGUCCAGACUCCUACGGGAGGCAGCAGUGGGGAAUCUUGGACAAUGGGCGAAAGCCUGAUCGAGCCACGCCGCGUGUGUGAAGAAGGUCUUCGGAUUGUAAAGCACUUUAAGUUGGGAGGAAGGGCAGUAAGUUAAUCCCUUGCCGUUUUGACGUUACCAACAGAAUAAGCACCGGCUAACUUCGUG
RNAcentral lists this ribosomal RNA (484 nucleotides) under uncultured bacterium. Its description in RNAcentral is "partial 16S ribosomal RNA". It matches the Rfam family "Bacterial small subunit ribosomal RNA", at positions 30 to 507 of the family's 1533-position model. The record is from RNAcentral.